This 2771-nucleotide ribosomal RNA is filed under the name Streptococcus pneumoniae. RNAcentral's name for it is "23S ribosomal RNA". It matches the Rfam family "Bacterial large subunit ribosomal RNA". Lineage: Bacteria; Bacillati; Bacillota; Bacilli; Lactobacillales; Streptococcaceae. The record is from RNAcentral.
UUAAGUUAAUAAGGGCGCACGGUGGAUGCCUUGGCACUAGGAGCCGACGAAGGACGUGACAAACGACGAUAUGCCUUGGGUAGCUGUAAGUAAGCGAUGAUCCAGGGAUUUCCGAAUGGGGGAACCCAACAGGUAGUACCUGUUACCCACAUCUGUUAAGGAUGUGAGGAGGAAGACGCAGUGAACUGAAACAUCUAAGUAGCUGCAGGAAGAGAAAGCAAAAGCGAUUGCCUUAGUAGCGGCGAGCGAAACGGCAGNUAGCAGUAUCCUGAGUACGGCGGGACACGUGAAAUCCCGUCGGAAUCUGGGAGGACCAUCUCCCAACCCUAAAUACUCCCUAGUGACCGAUAGUGAACCAGUACCGUGAGGGAAAGGUGAAAAGCACCCCGGGAGGGGAGUGAAAUAGAACCUGAAACCGUGUGCCUACAACAAGUUCGAGCCCGUUAAUGGGUGAGAGCGUGCCUUUUGUAGAAUGAACCGGCGAGUUACGUUAUGAUGCGAGGUUAAGUUGAAGAGACGGAGCCGUAGGGAAACCGAGUCUGAAUAGGGCGCCUUAGUAUCAUGACGUAGACCCGAAACCAUGUGACCUACCCAUGAGCAGGUUGAAGGUGCGGUAAGACGCACUGGAGGACCGAACCAGGGCACGUUGAAAAGUGCUUGGAUGACUUGUGGGUAGCGGAGAAAUUCCAAACGAACUUGGAGAUAGCUGGUUCUCUCCGAAAUAGCUUUAGGGCUAGCGUCGACAUUAGAGAUUCUUGGAGGUAGAGCACUGUUUGGGUGAGGGGUCCAUCCCGGAUUACCAAUCUCAGAUAAACUCCGAAUGCCAAUGAAUUAUGGUCGGCAGUCAGACUGCGAGUGCUAAGAUCCGUAGUCGAAAGGGAAACAGCCCAGACCACCAGCUAAGGUCCCAAAAUAAUUGUUAAGUGGAAAAGGAUGUGGGGUUGCACAGACAACUAGGAUGUUAGCUUAGAAGCAGCUAUUCAUUCAAAGAGUGCGUAAUAGCUCACUAGUCGAGUGACCCUGCGCCGAAAAUGUACCGGGGCUAAAACAAUUUACCGAAGCUGUGGAUACCUUUAUAGGUAUGGUAGGAGAGCGUUCUAUGUGUGAUGAAGGUAUACCGUGAGGAGUGCUGGAACGCAUAGAAGUGAGAAUGCCGGUAUGAGUAGCGAAAGACAGGUGAGAAUCCUGUCCACCGUAAGACUAAGGUUUCCAGGGGAAGGCUCGUCCGCCCUGGGUUAGUCGGGACCUAAGGAGAGACCGAAAGGUGUAUCCGAUGGACAACAGGUUGAUAUUCCUGUACUAGAGUAUGUAGUGAUGGAGGGACGCAGUAGGCUAACUAAAGCAGACGAUUGGAAGAGUCUGUCUAAGCAGUGAGGUGUGAAUUGAGUCAAAUGCUUAAUUCUAUAACAUUGAGCUGUGAUGGGGAGCGAAGUUUAGUAGCGAAGUUAGUGACGUCACACUGCCAAGAAAAGCUUCUAGCGUUUAAACAUACUCUACCCGUACCGCAAACCGACACAGGUAGUCGAGGCGAGUAGCCUCAGGUGAGCGAGAGAACUCUCGUUAAGGAACUCGGCAAAAUGACCCCGUAACUUCGGGAGAAGGGGUGCUGACUUAAAGUCAGCCGCAGUGAAUAGGCCCAAGCAACUGUUUAUCAAAAACACAGCUCUCUGCUAAAUCGUAAGAUGAUGUAUAGGGGGUGACGCCUGCCCGGUGCUGGAAGGUUAAGAGGAGUGCUUAGCGUAAGCGAAGGUAUGAAUUGAAGCCCCAGUAAACGGCGGCCGUAACUAUAACGGUCCUAAGGUAGCGAAAUUCCUUGUCGGGUAAGUUCCGACCCGCACGAAAGGCGUAAUGAUUUGGGCACUGUCUCAACGAGAGACUCGGUGAAAUUUUAGUACCUGUGAAGAUGCAGGUUACCCGCGACAGGACGGAAAGACCCCAUGGAGCUUUACUGCAGUUUGAUAUUGAGUGUCUGUACCACAUGUACAGGAUAGGUAGGAGUCUAAGAGAUCGGGACGCCAGUUUCGAAGGAGACGCUGUUGGGAUACUACCCUUGUGUUAUGGCCACUCUAACCCAGAUAGGUGAUCCCUAUCGGAGACAGUGUCUGACGGGCAGUUUGACUGGGGCGGUCGCCUCCUAAAAGGUAACGGAGGCGCCCAAAGGUUCCCUCAGAAUGGUUGGAAAUCAUUCGCAGAGUGUAAAGGUAUAAGGGAGCUUGACUGCGAGAGCUACAACUCGAGCAGGGACGAAAGUCGGGCUUAGUGAUCCGGUGGUUCCGUAUGGAAGGGCCAUCGCUCAACGGAUAAAAGCUACCCUGGGGAUAACAGGCUUAUCUCCCCCAAGAGUUCACAUCGACGGGGAGGUUUGGCACCUCGAUGUCGGCUCGUCGCAUCCUGGGGCUGUAGUCGGUCCCAAGGGUUGGGCUGUUCGCCCAUUAAAGCGGCACGCGAGCUGGGUUCAGAACGUCGUGAGACAGUUCGGUCCCUAUCCGUCGCGGGCGUAGGAAAUUUGAGAGGAUCUGCUCCUAGUACGAGAGGACCAGAGUGGACUUACCGCUGGUGUACCAGUUGUCUUGCCAAAGGCAUCGCUGGGUAGCUAUGUAGGGAAGGGAUAAACGCUGAAAGCAUCUAAGUGUGAAACCCACCUCAAGAUGAGAUUUCCCAUGAUUAUAUAUCAGUAAGAGCCCUGAGAGAUGAUCAGGUAGAUAGGUUAGAAGUGGAAGUGUGGCGACACAUGUAGCGGACUAAUACUAAUAGCUCGAGGACUUAUCCAA